RNAcentral lists this ribosomal RNA (552 nucleotides) under Lipoptena cervi. Its description in RNAcentral is "partial large subunit ribosomal RNA". It matches the Rfam family "Bacterial large subunit ribosomal RNA", at positions 1797 to 2616 of the family's 2925-position model. Lineage: Eukaryota; Metazoa; Arthropoda; Insecta; Diptera; Hippoboscidae. The record is from RNAcentral.
CGCCUGUUUAACAAAAACAUCUCUUUUUGAGCAUAAAUAAAAAGUUUAACCUGCCCACUGAUAAAAUUAAAUGGCCGCAGUAUAUUAACUGUGCAAAGGUAGCAUAAUCAUUAGUCUUUUAAUUGAAGGCUGGAAUGAAUGGUUGGACGAAAUAUUUACUGUUUCAUAUUAAUUUUUGAUAAAAUUUUAUUUUUUAGUAAAAAAGCUAAAAUAAUAUUAAAAGACGAGAAGACCCUAUAAAUCUUUAUAUUUUAAUUAAUUUUUAUAAAUUAGAAAUUAAAUUAUUUAAUUUAAUUUAAAUAUUUUAUUGGGGUGAUAUUAAAAUUUAAUUAACUUUUAAUUUUAUUGAACAUUAAUUUAUGAAUUAUUGACUCAAUAAUAUUGAUUAUUAGAAUAAGUUACUUUAGGGAUAACAGCGUAAUUUUUUUGGAGAGUUCAUAUUGAUAAAAAAUAUUGCGACCUCGAUGUUGGAUUAAGAAAUAAAUUUAGGUGUAGAAGCUUAAAAAUUAAGUCUGUUCGACUUUUAAAUUCUUACGUGAUCUGAGUUUCAGA